UUCUCCUGGAAAACGGGUGGUAAUGCCGGAUGCUCCGACUCCUCGCAUGGGGUGUCGGGAAAGAUUUCAUCGGUAUGGGAUGGGGUCGCGUCCUAUCAGGUAGUCGGCGGGGUAACGGCCCACCGAGCCUACGACGGGUAGCCGGCCUGAGAGGGCGACCGGCCACAUUGGGACUGAGAUACGGCCCAGACUCCUACGGGAGGCAGCAGUGGGGAAUAUUGCACAAUGGGCGCAAGCCUGAUGCAGCGACGCCGCGUGCGGGAUGACGGCCUUCGGGUUGUAAACCGCUUUUGAUCGGGAGCAAGCCUUCGGGUGAGUGUACCUUUCGAAUAAGCACCGGCUAACUACGUGCCAGCAGCCGCGGUAAUACGUAGGGUGCAAGCGUUAUCCGGAAUUAUUGGGCGUAAAGGGCUCGUAGGCGGUUCGUCGCGUCCGGUGUGAAAGUCCAUCGCUUAACGGUGGAUCUGCGCCGGGUACGGGCGGGCUGGAGUGCGGUAGGGGAGACUGGAAUUCCCGGUGUAACGGUGGAAUGUGUAGAUAUCGAAAGAAAACACCAC
This 557-nucleotide ribosomal RNA is filed under the name Bifidobacterium pseudocatenulatum. RNAcentral describes it as "bacterial SSU rRNA". It matches the Rfam family "Bacterial small subunit ribosomal RNA", at positions 145 to 712 of the family's 1533-position model. Lineage: Bacteria; Bacillati; Actinomycetota; Actinomycetes; Bifidobacteriales; Bifidobacteriaceae. The record is from RNAcentral.